Molecule: ribosomal RNA, 119 nt
Filed under: Pelobates cultripes (western spadefoot toad)
Lineage: Eukaryota; Metazoa; Chordata; Amphibia; Anura; Pelobatidae
Source: RNAcentral
CCUUAUGGCCAUACCAGUUUGAAAGUGCUUGAUCUCGUCAGAUCUCAGAAGUCAUGCAGACUUGGGUCUGCUUAGUACUUGUAUGGGAGACCAACUAUGAACCUCAGGUGCCGUAAGCU